CCGAGUUUACAACUCCCAAACCCCUGUGAACAUACCACUUGUUGCCUCGGCGGAUCAGCCCGCUCCCGGUAAAACGGGACGGCCCGCCAGAGGACCCCUAAACUCUGUUUCUAUAUGUAACUUCUGAGUAAAACCAUAAAUAAAUUCA
RNAcentral lists this unclassified non-coding RNA (148 nucleotides) under soil metagenome. RNAcentral's name for it is "partial internal transcribed spacer 1". The record is from RNAcentral.